UACAGAGGUCUCAAGCGUUGUUCGGAAUUAUUGGGCGUAAAGAGCUCGUAGGCGGUUUGUCGCGUCUGCUGUGAAAACUCGGGGCUUAACUCCGGGCCUGCAGUGGGUACGGGCAGACUAGAGUGCGGUAGGGGAGACUGGAAUUCCUGGUGUAGCGGUGAAAUGCGCAGAUAUCAGGAGGAACACCCAUAGCGAAGGCAGCUCGCUGGGACGGUACUGACGCUGAGGCGCGAAAGCGUGGGGAGCGAACAGG
RNAcentral lists this ribosomal RNA (253 nucleotides) under uncultured bacterium. RNAcentral's name for it is "partial 16S ribosomal RNA". It matches the Rfam family "Bacterial small subunit ribosomal RNA", at positions 524 to 776 of the family's 1533-position model. The record is from RNAcentral.